Struthio camelus australis is the source of this 215-nucleotide non-coding RNA. The record is from RefSeq and is a predicted model, not a curated record. Lineage: Eukaryota; Metazoa; Chordata; Aves; Struthioniformes; Struthionidae.
CUGCGAAGAGCGCGCUCCGCGGCGGCUGGGGGAUAACCCCCGUUUGCCAGCAUGAUCAAGGGUUGUCAGAAUGAGUGUGUGGCUGGAGGAUGUGCAGGGGAAGCCACAAAGCAUGUGACUGAAUCUUUCAAGUCUUCUGCAGACAGACCCAACCUUCCUGGGCUCCAAGCCAGUGGGAUGUGAGCCCAUGGCAGACUGGAAGCUACAUAGGCAGG